GAUGAACGCUGGCGGCGUGCUUAACACAUGCAAGUCGAACGAGAAGUGGAGACGGAAACCUUCGGGCGGAAGACUUUAUUUCGAGUGGCGGACGGGUGAGUAACGCGUGGGUAACCUGCCUCAUACAGGGGGAUAACAGUUGGAAACGACUGUUAAUACCGCAUAAGACCACAGCACCGCAUGGUGCGGGGGUAAAAACUCCGGUGGUAUGAGAUGGACCCGCGUUCGAUUAGCCAGUUGGCGGGGUAACGGCCCACCAAAGCGACGAUCGAUAGCCGAUCUGAGAGGUUGACCGGCAACAUUGGGACUGAGACACGGCCCAAACUCCUCCGGGAGGCAGCAGUGGGGAAUAUUGCACAAUGGGGGAAACCCUGACGCAGCGACGCCGCGUGAGUGAAGAAGUAUUUCGGUAUGUAAAGCUCUAUCAGCAGGGAAGAAAAUGACGGUACCUGAGUAAGAAGCCCCGGCUAACUACGU
This 477-nucleotide ribosomal RNA is filed under the name uncultured bacterium. RNAcentral's name for it is "partial 16S ribosomal RNA". It matches the Rfam family "Bacterial small subunit ribosomal RNA", at positions 28 to 506 of the family's 1533-position model. The record is from RNAcentral.